RNAcentral lists this ribosomal RNA (468 nucleotides) under uncultured bacterium. RNAcentral describes it as "partial 16S ribosomal RNA". It matches the Rfam family "Bacterial small subunit ribosomal RNA", at positions 28 to 507 of the family's 1533-position model. The record is from RNAcentral.
GACGAACGCUGGCGGCGUGCUUAACACAUGCAAGUCGAACGGAAAGGCCCUGCUUUUGUGGGGUGCUCGAGUGGCGAACGGGUGAGUAACACGUGAGUAACCUGCCCUUGAUUUUGGGAUAACUUCAGGAAACUGGGGCUAAUAUCGGAUAGGAGCUCCUGCUGCAUGGUGGGGGUUGGAAAUUUUUGGCGGUUGGGGUUGGACUCGCGGCUGAUGAGCUUGUUGGUGGGGGAGUGGCUUACUAAGGCUGUGACGGGUAGCCGGCCUGGGAGGGUGACCGGACACAUGUCCACUGAGAUACGCCGCAGACUACUACGUAUGGCAGCAGUAGGGAGUAUUGUACAGUGAGCGGAAGUAUGAUGCGGCAACUCCGCGUGCGGAAUGACGGCAUUCGGGUUAUAAACCGCUUCCGGCUAUGACGAAGAGGGGGUGACGGUAAUGGGUAAAGAAGCACCGGCUAACUACGUG